CAUGGAACGUGGUGAAAGUGAAAGUCGCUAAGUCUGUCCCACUCAUGGCGACCCCAUGGACUAUACAUACAGUCCAUGGGAUUCUGCAGGCCAGAAUACCGGAGUGGGUAGCCUUUCCCUUCUCCAGGGGAUCUUCCCAACCCAGGGAUCGAAACCAGGUCUCCCGCAUUGUAGACGGAUUCUUUACCAAUUGAGCUAUGUAGCUCCUAAUCAGCCACAUAAUCACAGGGGUGCUCAACUGAUGCACUUCCAACCAUCUGUACCUAUACACCCGCCUGUUUUCAGUAAGGUAUUCAAUAAAUUGUGUGAGAUAGUGAGUACUUUAUCAUAAAUUAGGAUUUGUGUUAACUGAUUUUGCUGCAAUAAAGGCUAAUGUGUGUUCUGAACAUGUUUAAUUUUGUAAAUUAGGUGUUUCAAAUGCAUUUUCAACUUAGGAUGAGUUUAUUGAGAGUCAAUUCCAGCAAUAUAAAUUGAGGACGAUCUGUAUAUAUAUAAUAAUUUCCCCACUUACCAUAAAAUUUCUCUGUACUGUUGGCUUGUUUUGAAUUAUUUUCUGACACGGGCCACAUACUGCAUUUGGUUGGCUGUUUUAUUUUUUUGAACUUUUUAUUUUAUGUUGGAGUACAGCCGAUUAACAAUGCUGUGAUGGUUUCAGGUACACAGCAAAGAGACUCAGUCAUACAUGUACAUGUGUCCAUUUCUCCCCCAAACUCACUUCCCAUCCAGGCCGCCACAUGGUUGUUUCACUUUUAGAUCAACAAAUCAUAGGAAUAUUAUAGUGUUUUCAUUUGUAUACUUGCAUUAUUAACCUUUAAAAUUUUUCCUUGGUUGAACUUCAGUUUAUUUUUAAUAUAAGAAAUUCUAUGAUGAAUUUAAAUAUUCACCAGCACUUUGUAUUUUUUUUUUAUGAAUCCUCAAAAUAACCUGAUGGAAUAAAGUAAUACUUUAAUGGCUGCUUUUCCAGAAAUUAUUUCUGUAGUGCCUACUGUGAUCCGGGGCAUUUAAUAACACUGGGGUGGAGCAAAAGCAGCAUAUUCUUCGGUCAUAGCUGGCCUAUGGUGAGUCUAUUACACCCAUUCUACCAUUAUGAUAAUGGGCGUAUUCUUAAAAUUCUUUGAAGUUGGGGAUGAUAAUAUGAAGCCCAGUUCAAAAGAGGUACUCAAAAAUAUUUGAUUUAAUUAUCAUGAAUUACUUAUUUAAAUAUCCAUGAGUACAUGAGUUAUCUCUGGAAGCCUCAGCCUUUCAGAAGGAGUGUGGACAGAAAAGUAGAUGGAGGUCCAGAAGAGCAUACUCGACCAAUGGAGGCACAGUAAGUGAGACCCCAAAAUUAAGUGAACACUCCAUGUGUAAGUAUAGACUCAAAGGUUAGGCCUGAUUAGUCUGUUGUACAGAGAGGAAUAGGGAAUUUUUAUCAGUAACAAAUCAUCUUUUUUUAACUGAAAAACUAGACUUGUGAGAAUAGUGACAAAAUGAGAAGAAUGUUACGUUGAUCUGUGUUACUGUUUUGGACUUCAGUUAAAACUGGUCACUGAGUGACUGAUUGAUUUCAGUCUUCUCCAAGAGGAGAAACUACCAAAUGAAGUGCAAAAUAAAACAGCCUUUUGGUUUGCAGAAGAAAAAUGCCAUGGUUUCUAUUUGCUCGUGAAGGCAGAGGCAGAUGGCCAAUUUUCUCCUGUAAGUCCUGGUGUGUGAAUGGAGGGUGUGGAUGGUGUAUAUCUGGAUCCUCUUGAGUUGCAUCUCAGUUCUGGAUCUGUGAUACCUUGCAUAUAUAUAUAUUCUUCCCCUUUCCCCGCCUUUCCCCCUCCCCUUUUUUUUUUUUAAGACUUCUAUCUUAAAACUAGUAAUGUCUGAGAUUUAGUUGGUUAACUUUCUGUUUAUCAUGGUAACUGAACUAUAUAGAAACCAAACCACAGAUAUUGUUGAAAAUAGUUCAGUAUCCAUUUGUUUGUAAGAGGAAAUUCAGGGCUAAAGUUAGGUUGAGUUAAAUAUGUGUCAAGGCUGUAUAUUGUCACCCUGCUUAUUUAACU
Molecule: long non-coding RNA, 2027 nt
Organism: Cervus elaphus (red deer)
Lineage: Eukaryota; Metazoa; Chordata; Mammalia; Artiodactyla; Cervidae
Exons: 3
Source: RefSeq, a predicted model, not a curated record